Molecule: ribosomal RNA, 636 nt
Filed under: Microbacteriaceae bacterium Se1Ps_2132
Lineage: Bacteria; Bacillati; Actinomycetota; Actinomycetes; Micrococcales; Microbacteriaceae
Also listed under: 9 other names
Description: bacterial SSU rRNA
Rfam family: Bacterial small subunit ribosomal RNA
Source: RNAcentral
CCUGAUGCAGCAACGCCGCGUGAGGGACGAAGGCCUUCGGGUUGUAAACCUCUUUUAGUAGGGAAGAAGCGAAAGUGACGGUACCUGCAGAAAAAGCACCGGCUAACUACGUGCCAGCAGCCGCGGUAAUACGUAGGGUGCAAGCGUUGUCCGGAAUUAUUGGGCGUAAAGAGCUCGUAGGCGGUUUGUCGCGUCUGCUGUGAAAACUGGAGGCUCAACCUCCAGCCUGCAGUGGGUACGGGCAGACUAGAGUGCGGUAGGGGAGAUUGGAAUUCCUGGUGUAGCGGUGGAAUGCGCAGAUAUCAGGAGGAACACCGAUGGCGAAGGCAGAUCUCUGGGCCGUAACUGACGCUGAGGAGCGAAAGCAUGGGGAGCGAACAGGAUUAGAUACCCUGGUAGUCCAUGCCGUAAACGUUGGGAACUAGAUGUAGGGGCCAUUCCACGGUUUCUGUGUCGCAGCUAACGCAUUAAGUUCCCCGCCUGGGGAGUACGGCCGCAAGGCUAAAACUCAAAGGAAUUGACGGGGGCCCGCACAAGCGGCGGAGCAUGCGGAUUAAUUCGAUGCAACGCGAAGAACCUUACCAAGGCUUGACAUAUACCGGAAACGGCUAGAGAUAGUCGCCCCGCAAGGUCGGU